GUAGUCUCGCACAGAUGCAUAUCAAUAAGCGGAGGAAAAGAAACUAACAAGGAUUCCCUCAGUAACGGCGAGUGAAGCGGGAAGAGCUCAAAUUUGAAAUCUUGCAAGGUUUACCUUUCACGAAUUGUAGUUUAAAGAAGUGUUUUCUGCUUACGAUUUGGUAAUAAGUUCUUUGGAAUAGGACAUCAUAGAGGGUGAGAAUCCCGUACUAUGACCAUUGGAUUUGUCAGCUUUGUGAUACACUUUCAAAGAGUCGGAUUGUUUGGGAAUGCAGUCCAAAAUGGGUAGGUAAAUUUCUUCUAAGGCUAAAUAUUGGCGAGAGACCGAUAGCGAACAAGUACCGUGAGGGAAAGAUGAAAAGAACUUUGAAAAGAGAGUUAAAUAGUACGUGAAAUUGUCAAAAGGGAAGCGUUUAACACCAGUGUUGUUUUCUGAAAAUCAACCUCUGUUAGCUUUAUGCAUGUUUGUUUAGACCUAAUCAGCUAUCUUGCAUGUUCUAUUGUUUGCAGUGGUGCACUUUUCAGUUUACAGGUCAACAUCAGUUUUUUUUACCGUAAAAAAGUUAAAGAAAGGUAGCUCAUGGCUCCGGUCGUGAGUGUUAUAGUCUUUUUCCUAUGCGGUAGGAGAGACUGAGGUCUGCAGUGUAGGCUAUUUGGCUAGAUACUCAGGUGCUAUGUGAUACCAUUUCAUAAACAACUUGUUGAUUAUGUUUUGUCUAUUGCAUACUCGCUUGUACUAUCAUACCUACGCUUAGGAUGUUGAGUCGUAGAGCACGCAG
This 778-nucleotide ribosomal RNA is filed under the name uncultured Neocallimastigales. RNAcentral describes it as "partial large subunit ribosomal RNA". It matches the Rfam family "Eukaryotic large subunit ribosomal RNA", at positions 24 to 628 of the family's 3401-position model. The record is from RNAcentral. Lineage: Eukaryota; Fungi; Neocallimastigomycota; Neocallimastigomycetes; Neocallimastigales.